Pectinophora gossypiella (pink bollworm) is the source of this 625-nucleotide long non-coding RNA. RefSeq lists it as uncharacterized. The transcript has 2 exons. The record is from RefSeq and is a predicted model, not a curated record. NCBI's taxonomy places the organism in Eukaryota, Metazoa, Arthropoda, Insecta, Lepidoptera, Gelechiidae.
GGGUGAUUCCCCGUUCACUUCGCUGUUCACUUCACUUACGAACUCGAUUUGAUCUGUCAAAUUAAAAGUUAAUGUUCGUCGAGUGAAAUCUUUUACCUUUAUUAGUUAUUUGCUGGUGAUAUCGUUUCUAAUAAGACUCAAUAAGUUUUAAUUAAGGUAAUUUAACAGAUUAGUGUUUAAAAAACUUUAGUGUAGUGUUUAAUCUAGUGCUAGUGUGUUUCUUCUGUUGAAAAUGGCUCGAAUGUUUUUAUUAAAGUGUUUAUUAGAGGAAGCUCAUACUUUGGACAAUUUUGAGUUGCGCCGACAAGCCUAUGGAAUUCGUAGUUUGUCUCUAUUGACCCGAGAUGAUAACUAUGUCAGUGUAUAUAGACUUUCGAAGCAAUUGAUCGACCAACUCGAACUUGAGUUGCGUCCUAUAAUAAAAAGUAUCAAACGCCGAGGAAAGGGACUUACAACUCGUAUUAAGGAACGUAUCCUAAUAUAUCCGGGAACGGCACAUUACGGUAGGUAUUUAAUGUAGUUACCUAUGGUAGAAGUGACUGUAUAGUCAUGAGCAAUAUCAUGUACACACUUUAGAACCCUGUCGCACUAUCAUAUUUGACAUUUAAUGAGACUUAUAGUCUAA